Capsicum annuum is the source of this 214-nucleotide non-coding RNA. NCBI's taxonomy places the organism in Eukaryota, Viridiplantae, Streptophyta, Magnoliopsida, Solanales, Solanaceae. The record is from Rfam.
AUGACCUUACUUGAACAUGAUUUAUUCUAUAGGCUCGUACACUGUAUUCUUAAGUUCUAAGGAGAGACAAUACCAAAUCUGAUUGAUGAAGCAUGGCCUUAUGACCAAAGUGUGAUUAACAACCUUCUAUGGAUACUUGAGUUAUGGAGUAGUAGAUGAUCAUUCUUAGACCUGAUAUCAGGCUUAAGAUGGUCUCAAGAAGAUCUAACAAACU